GGAAAUUUGUGUUAUAUAAGUUGAUUUCUCAAGGAGGUGGGCAAAUGUAGGGAAACUUUGAGUUCAUUUACACAGAGAGAGCGCGCGCAUAUUCUUUUUAAAAUUAUCGCUUCUGUUAAUAAAGAGUGAUCGAUCGUAUUCACAUAAAAGCGAGAUGAGUAAGACCAGAAAAGAGAGCGGGGGCUCAUCGUUCUUCUUCACAUCAUUGGCUUCGUGCUUCGGUAUUUUCAAAACGGGCAAAAGUGAAAGUGAAAAGACCUUGAAAGAUGGCCCGGAGGCGACCAUGGUUGCUGCUGGAAAGCAUUUCUCUACGGCUCAUAAAGUGAGGUUGAUUUAGCUGCUCGAUUAAGGCUUCGUUUGGAAGUUAAAAGAGGAUUUUACUUCCACAAAGUCUAAUAACCCUAUUAUGCUGUGUUGUAAUAUGGGGAUAUGGGAUAAAUUUUUUGCCUCAUGAUUUGAUACUUUUACUGACGGAUUGUGUAUAUAAUUUAUUGUACCAUAAACCCUUUAUAAUUAAAACAAUUUGCAAUCCCUGGAGUAAAUUGAUACAGCUACCGUGUGAAACAGGGUAAAUAUUUGUAUAGCUGAAGAAGUUUUUGUGUAAAAUCUUAACCAAUCCCUUCAAUAUCUUCAUUUCUUGAAUAACAAGGAAGUAUAUAUUGCCAGAGUUAAUUAG
This 676-nucleotide long non-coding RNA is filed under the name Citrus x clementina. RNAcentral describes it as "Citrus clementina (C. clementina) long non-coding RNA (CCLE_LNC003623)". Lineage: Eukaryota; Viridiplantae; Streptophyta; Magnoliopsida; Sapindales; Rutaceae. The record is from RNAcentral.